AACGAACGCUGGCGGCAUGCCUAACACAUGCAAGUCGAACGAGACCUUCGGGUCUAGUGGCGCACGGGUGCGUAACGCGUGGGAACCUGCCCUUAGGUUCGGAAUAACUCCCCGAAAGGGGUGCUAAUACCGGAUAAUGUCUUCGGACCAAAGAUUUAUCGCCUUUGGAUGGGCCCGCGUUGGAUUAGCUAGUUGGUAGGGUAAAAGCCUACCAAGGCGACGAUCCAUAGCUGGUCUGAGAGGAUGAGCAGCCACACUGGGACUGAGACACGGCCCAGACUCCUACGGGAGGCAGCAGUGGGGAAUAUUGGACAAUGGGCUAAAGCCUGAUCCAGCAAUGCCGCGUGAGUGAUGAAGGCCGUAGGGUUGUAAAGCUCUUUUACCCGGGACGAUAAUGACAGUACCGGGAGAAUAAGCUCCGGCUAACUCCGUG
Molecule: ribosomal RNA, 433 nt
Filed under: uncultured bacterium
Lineage: Bacteria
Description: partial 16S ribosomal RNA
Rfam family: Bacterial small subunit ribosomal RNA
Source: RNAcentral